ACCACUGCCCGCGGGGCCCGCGUCCCAACGCGCCCACAUCAUGCCCCCAGCGGGUGACGGCGCGCCGCCGCGCGUUCGCCUAGGCCGCCGGUCACAGCCUGACCACGCUCGCGUAGGCCCACGCGCGCACAGCGCGAGUGCAGCAACCGCCGCACGCCUAGCUGCCCCGCGCGGCACUCGCCCACGACGUUGAGAAAACCGACGUCCGCGCCCACGCUCUCCUAUCCGAGCGUCUACACAUCCUCUCCUCUUCCUCCUUCAUUUCCCCAAUCGCCAGCACUCGAUGCCUCCAUAAUCGUCGCCCAGUCCUCACAUCGCCAUCCUUGACACGCGUUCGGAGAUCGACGUCGAAACCGCCGCACCGGAGUCCAUCCUCGCCGUGUUCGCCUGCACCAGAGCCGCUCGCCACCUACCUCUUCCAUGCCCUAUUGAGCCGCGCGCCCGUGCCAUCUCCGUUGAGAUCCAAGGUGAGCAUCCUCCUCGUCGCCUCCUCCCCUCUCCUCUCCCUCGUUUAUUCCCCCUCCCCCCCGCGUCCUCCCGUGGCGGCCCGCGGCCAGCGCACGACCCGCCUGUGGCGCCGUCCCUCGCCCAGCCCGUGAGGCGAGCCUCGCCCCUGGCCCUGCGCGCCGCGGCUAGGUGCCAGCAGCCACUGCCAGGGUGCGGCCUCGUCCUCCCCGCGUGCUCACUGUGAGCCAGCCAGAUCGGUCGAAGCCCCUCUAACCCUGGUCGAGAAUCACCUCUCUUCAAUACCCUUGCUCUUUCCAUGGAAGAAGAAACCGUCCAAGACUUGCUCUCGUCGUGUGCGCGUAAAGGUGAAACUGCCGUGAUACAUCCAAGGAGAAGAAAUCGCUUCCUCCUCCAUACCGGAUCCCACUUUUCAGGAUCUUGUCAUCUUGUGUCAGUUGUGUGGCUACAAACUCCCCAUGGCCGUUCGUAAGUCAUGGCUCCAGCCAAUUGUGUCACGCUGCACCGCAUGAAAUCCAAAAUUAUUAUUAAUACAUGUUAGCUUUCGCGUUCUAAAUUCGUUUAGCGUUCUAAAUCCGAAAUUAUUAAUACACGUUAUUUUGUCGUAGCACUUGUUUUAGCUAAUUAAUUAUUUUGUUAAGUAAUUGUUUAUCCUAUUGUUAUUUAAAAUAGCUUUCGUUAAAGCUACCUUAGAGCUUCUAACAUGUGUUUUCAUGAAUAAAUAUUAAAGUGAUUAAUACCAAUUCAGAUGUCUUUAUUCAAUACACGCCUAGUGUAAGUGUGACGUGUGUUUAGCAUUUCUCAUAUGUCAUGUUAUUUAUAAUUCGCGAAUUGUUAUUUAUUCAAUAUAUUAUACAUCGUAAACCCGUUUUGACUCAUUUCAAUCACAUCAACUUCGUAUUAACAUUAAUUUCGUGCUAGUAAUAUUAUUUUGUCGUGACGCGUGUUAUAAUUAAUUAGUUAGUUUGUCGUGGCACGUGUUUUAUAUUAGUGAUUCUCGCAUGUCGCGCGUGUAAAUCGCGCGCGUCGCCGCACGUCGUCCGCAUGCCAUGGUCGCGUGCUGAUUCGUGCAUCUUUCGUGAUUGUGGCACGCAUUGUUUCGCGUGCUGUUGUGCGUGUUGUUUCGCGCACGCGCAGCGCGUCGUCAGGGUCCCGACGACAUCCGUCUACCCCCUAGACGACGUUCGUCUAUCCCUAGACGACUCUCGUCUACCCCCGUUUACCUCGUCUAUCCCCCUACGCUAAUUAGUUUCCUAUUUAAUUCAGCAAUCUGAAUACCCAAUUGGAUUAAAAUUAUGAUUUUAGUUAGGCGAUUGUAAAUAUGUGAUAAUGUGAUUUUAACAACUUAGAUGUAGUAUUUAAUGCCUAUUUAGUGUUUAGUAUAAACACGAUGUCUGUUAGCGACUCUCGUGAGUCGUGCGCGUCAUCGCACUGUCUACGCGUUGUUCGCACGUGUGGCGGUCGUCGUCGUCGUGUUGUUCAUGCGUAUAGUUCGUGCCUUAUUCUCGUGUUGUCGCGCGGCGUCUGCGCGUGGUAAUAAAUUGUUUUCGCUUAUAAGCACUCAUGUUAGUAACGCUAAUUCGUCAGGUCAUAUAUGUUAGAUAAUUAACUUAAGGUUUGCUCGACUAAUAUUCAUUAGACUAAUAUUCAAUUAGAUUAAAUAUGUAGUGUUCAACCGCGUUUUUAUAAUAAACAUUAACAUGACCGUUAUUAACUUAACUGCUUUGUAAUUAUUUGAUAUCUGUUUAGUAUAAACACAUCUCCAAUUAAGUUCUCGUCCGUCGUGUGUGCUGUUCCGCGCGCGGUGGCGUGCUACUUCGCGCGUUGUUCACGUGCUAUCUGCGCGUUGUUCGUGCGUGAUGUGCUCGUGGUCGCGUGCUGAUUCGUGCGCGUUCGCGCUUGUCAUGCGCGUUGUUUCGUGUGUCGUCAACAUGCUAUGUCGCGCGUGUGCGCGCGUCGUUUGCACGCUGUCGUGCUGUUUCACGCGUCAUAAAUUCAUCUCGCUUAGAAUCUCUUGUUUUAAUUAAAUUAUUUAAUUAACUGACAUUUAUUUAAUUAACUGCGUAUGUAUAUGUUUGUUUGCUUGUGCCGGUUCGCCUUCGCUUCGCGUUGUGAUUAGAUCGCGAUUCGUUUCCGAGCUUUGAGGAAUCGACGAUCAAGCGUUGGCGACCAAGUGAUCAAGUUCUUCGAGUUCUACGAGAUUAAAUACCCUGAGCAUCUGUUUUGGUGAAGGCAAAUGUCCUCUGACCCAUUAUGUCCUAUCUACUUAUAAUUCAUUUUCCCGCGUUACUUAAUGGAAACCUAAGGAUUGACUAACUUUGUGUUUACCUUGUCCUUAUUACCUUUUGGGUUAUUAUGGUUAGCUUCAUGCUAUUGCUUUACUUUAAUCAAUGAACAUGAUGUAAAUACUUAUGAUACGAUGAUGUUAUCCCGAUGAUGAUAUUGUGAUAUUUUAGGGGACUCAGGCCAUUUUCCUGAGUACCUCUCCGUAAGGACCUGUUCGUGGAGUGACCACCCAGGAUAACAGUGUAGCCAUGAGGGUGGAAUGAGACGCCCUUAGCUAAUUAAUUACAUGAACCUAGGCGUAUAGUUGGCUUUGCCG
RNAcentral lists this long non-coding RNA (3067 nucleotides) under Zea mays. Its description in RNAcentral is "long non-coding RNA (ZMAY_LNC002394)". The record is from RNAcentral. Lineage: Eukaryota; Viridiplantae; Streptophyta; Magnoliopsida; Poales; Poaceae.